AUUGGCCAUGCAGCAUUUACAGUGAUAUGGCCUCAGCAGAAGUCAGGGCAUUUAUACUUCUUGCGCUUCCCGGAGCAGUGCAGAGCUGUUGCCAAGGAAGUGAGUUUGACAAGAUUGGUUGGCGGUAGAAAACACAAUGUGGAGCUAUACAGAGCCCUCUGCAUUGUUACAUUUUGUGGGAGGCACAUGACGAUGCGGCACAGAGCUCGAAUUGGCCUCUGCAUGCGUCUGAAGCCUCUGCAAUUGCGUUACAUCCUCCAUAUGCAGCUUCUGACCACAUUUUCAUGAAAGCAGAUCGAUCUUUUAGUCUAGGCCUCUGCAAUGGAUUAGUUCCUGAGAUGGGCGCAUAAAACAAUCUUGGUAGACCAACAGCCUAACAACCAAACAAUCGACCAGUUGACUAAAUUGGGGUCAGCCCUAGUUCAUAGUAAUGGUUAUCAACUGUACCGCAGGGAUGGAACGUAAAGUUGCAGAAAAUAGAAGUUGUGGCGGCAGCUGCAGAAAAGUAUUUGGGUGUACGAGACUUGGUGUCAAGAGUUACAGGGUGUGUUGACUAGUGGAGUCCAGUCCUCUCAGGCCGGUUUAAAUGGUGGAAUAGGGUGGUGUUUUUUUAAUUUUUAUGAGUGUAGCGUUAGAUUUGAUUUUGUAUUUUUUUUGUAUUUUUUUUUUUACUUUCCCCUUUUUCCAUGCAAAGUAUUAUGGGUUAAUACCCCAGUCUAGUUGGUGGCAGUAAGGCAACAUUUAUUGGAUGCCAACCGCCGCUAAACCUCAUCGAAGACGAAUAACUUUGCUAGCUAAAGUUAGUUAGCUAGUGUUCGACUUCGAUUGUGCCAUGAUGUUUGAAAACGUGUUUCAAUUUUGUUGACUAAUUAGGACCGUACAUGUCAUCCUUACAUGGGUUAUCACACUGAUACUAUUCUUACAGGACACUGGCAAAUUACUCUUUGAGGCGAAACAAUUUAAUUUGCCAUUUAGCUAGCUAGCUAACGUUAGCAUGCCAGGCAAGACCGACUGGGAGACUGUCACAUUAUGACAACAAUACAAGCUAGUGAUAGCUUGCAGGCUAGCCAACCUUAUAAUUUAGCCAAAGUGAAUACAAUAGCAAUUUUAACAACCUUCCACUUGUUGCCGUGCUGGAUUUCUGUGGUGUUUUGGUGAAUUUAUAUCUCGCCUGUUAAGAUAUGCAAAGACAAGAGGAGAGUGGAGAGUUUAUGCAGCAUGUGGUGUUUUCCUUGCUGGUCCUGCUGUCAGUGAUGCUGUAUUACACUCUCUCUGAUGCACCUGGGCUUUGUUCACUCUGUGUCAAGGUGAGCAAUAUCCUCAACCAACCACCCAAAAACCCUUCUUAUAAUAUGUAUUCCUUUCUGCUAUUACAUUAUCGUUGCCCUUGAAUGUGUUAGUGUGCUCAGGGCUCAAGUGAAGAAUUGGAGAUGAUACCUCAAAACCCCACUCCUUGUCUGUGCCGGUGUGGCUCCUUUUUACUAACAGCAGCCCAUGAGAGCUAAGUACUGCCAGACCUGUAAACACUGUAUAUGGGGGUUUGACCAUCACUGUCCAUGGAUAGAGAAUUGUGUGGGUGAGAGGAACUACCGCAGGUUCAUCAUCUAUCUGGCUGUGCAGCUGCUUGCUCUACUCUGGGCCCAUCAGAUUGCUUGGUCAGGUUUCCAUUCAGCCGCCACUUGGAAACUGUGGCUCAGUGUGAAUGGGUUUCUGCUGGCGGCGCUGUGUGUUGUACUUGGUGGUGGUCCUGCUCCUGGGCUGCCACCUCUAUCUGAUCUCCAUCAACUCCAACGCCUGGGAGUUCAUGUCCCAGUUCAUGUCCUGCUACCAGAUGUACUACAGAGUAUAGGUCGACCGAUUAUGAUUUUUCAAUGCCGAUACCGAUUAUUGGAGGACCAAAAAAAGCCGAUUGUCACGUUCCUGACCUUAUUUCCUUUAUUUUGUCU
Long non-coding RNA from Salvelinus namaycush (lake trout), 1946 nucleotides. RefSeq lists it as uncharacterized. NCBI's taxonomy places the organism in Eukaryota, Metazoa, Chordata, Actinopteri, Salmoniformes, Salmonidae. The record is from RefSeq and is a predicted model, not a curated record. The transcript has 3 exons.